GUCUAUAGCUGUACCACCCUGAAUGCACCCGAUCUCUUCUGGUCUCUGAAGCUGGGCAGGGUUGGACCUGGUUAGUAAUUUGGAUAGGAGAAUUGUAUUUUGUAUAUUGUGGCUUAGAUC
This 120-nucleotide ribosomal RNA is filed under the name Microcebus murinus (gray mouse lemur). The record is from RNAcentral. Lineage: Eukaryota; Metazoa; Chordata; Mammalia; Primates; Cheirogaleidae.